GACGAACGCUGGCGGCGUGCUUAACACAUGCAAGUCGAACGGAAAGGCCCUGCUUGCCGGGUACUCGAGUGGCGAACGGGUGAGUAACACGUGGGUGAUCUGCCCUGCACUUCGGGAUAAGCCUGGGAAACUGGGUCUAAUACCGGAUAGGAGCCAUUUUUAGUGUGAUGGUUGGAAAGUUUUUUCGGUGUAGGAUGAGCUCGCGGCCUAUCAGCUUGUUGGUGGGGUAAUGGCCUACCAAGGCGGCGACGGGUAGCCGGCCUGAGAGGGUGGACGGCCACAUUGGGACUGAGAUACGGCCCAGACUCCUACGGGAGGCAGCAGUGGGGAAUAUUGCACAAUGGGCGCAAGCCUGAUGCAGCGACGCCGCGGGGGGGAUGACGGCCUUCGGGUUGGAAACUCCUUUCGCUAGGGACGAAGCUUUUUGUGACGGUACCUAGAGAAGAAGCACCGGCUAACUACGUG
Molecule: ribosomal RNA, 465 nt
Filed under: uncultured bacterium
Lineage: Bacteria
Description: partial 16S ribosomal RNA
Rfam family: Bacterial small subunit ribosomal RNA
Source: RNAcentral